This 355-nucleotide ribosomal RNA is filed under the name Burkholderia pseudomallei. RNAcentral describes it as "bacterial SSU rRNA". It matches the Rfam family "Bacterial small subunit ribosomal RNA", at positions 110 to 480 of the family's 1533-position model. The record is from RNAcentral. Lineage: Bacteria; Pseudomonadati; Pseudomonadota; Betaproteobacteria; Burkholderiales; Burkholderiaceae.
GUAAUACAUCGGAACAUGUCCUGUAGUGGGGGAUAGCCCGGCGAAAGCCGGAUUAAUACCGCAUACGAUCUGAGGAUGAAAGCGGGGGACCUUCGGGCCUCGCGCUAUAGGGUUGGCCGAUGGCUGAUUAGCUAGUUGGUGGGGUAAAGGCCUACCAAGGCGACGAUCAGUAGCUGGUCUGAGAGGACGACCAGCCACACUGGGACUGAGACACGGCCCAGACUCCUACGGGAGGCAGCAGUGGGGAAUUUUGGACAAUGGGCGCAAGCCUGAUCCAGCAAUGCCGCGUGUGUGAAGAAGGCCUNCGGGUUGUAAAGCACUUUUGUCCGGAAAGAAAUCAUUCUGGNUAAUACCG